Molecule: long non-coding RNA, 386 nt
Organism: Conger conger (European conger)
Lineage: Eukaryota; Metazoa; Chordata; Actinopteri; Anguilliformes; Congridae
Exons: 3
Source: RefSeq, a predicted model, not a curated record
CUCAAAAGGAGUGUGACAACUGAUAUUACUCCGUUCAAGAACAUCCAUGGUAACAAUGCUAAGACCAUCUCUCUGGGCAGCAGUUGCUGCAAUGGCACUCUUCAUCACUUGUAUCACAUCGAAUCCUGUCUAUAGUGAGGAAGAGUGGAAAUCCCUCAACAACCCACAGAGCAGGAUCCUGUUUUACAGAUUCCUUCAGUCCUACUUCGACGGCAGGGACGACAACCUUUUGAAUGUGGACAAAGUGGUAGCGGGUUUGGACAGCAGGGCUGUGGAUUCUUACCUGGAGGAACAACUACACGGACUGCAGAGCAACAGUUUGCACGAUGUUUAAUUAAAGAUUAUGUUCAAUAUCAUUGUUCAGUCGGUAUUGCUCGGCAUAUUAA